CCUACGGGUGGCAGCAGUGAGGAAUAUUGGUCAAUGGACGAGAGUCUGAACCAGCCAAGUAGCGUGAAGGAUGACUGCCCUCUGGGUUGUAAACUUCUUUUAUAUGGGAAUAAAAUGUUCCACGUGUGGGAUUUUGUAUGUACCAUAUGAAUAAGGAUCGGCUAACUCCGUGCCAGCAGCCGCGGUAAUCCGGAGGAUCCGAGCGUUAUCCGGAUUUAUUGGGUUUAAAGGGAGCGUAGGUGGAUUGUUAAGUCAGUUGUGAAAGUUUGCGGCUCAACCGUAAAAUUGCAGUUGAAACUGGAAGGCUGGAGUACAGUAGAGGUGGGCGGAAUUCGUGGUGUAGCGGUGAAAUGCUUAGAUAUCACGAAGAACUCCGAUUGCGAAGGCAGUUCACUGGACUGCAACUGACACUGAGGCUCGAAAGUGUGGGUAUCAAACAGGAUUAGAUACCCGUGUAGUC
Molecule: ribosomal RNA, 460 nt
Filed under: uncultured bacterium
Lineage: Bacteria
Description: partial 16S ribosomal RNA
Rfam family: Bacterial small subunit ribosomal RNA
Source: RNAcentral